Molecule: ribosomal RNA, 166 nt
Filed under: Senecio lacustrinus
Lineage: Eukaryota; Viridiplantae; Streptophyta; Magnoliopsida; Asterales; Asteraceae
Also listed under: 1 other name
Description: 5.8S ribosomal RNA
Rfam family: 5.8S ribosomal RNA
About the family: 5.8S ribosomal RNA (5.8S rRNA) is a component of the large subunit of the eukaryotic ribosome.
Source: RNAcentral
CAUAAACGACUCUCGGCAACGGAUAUCUUGGCUCACGCAUCGAUGAAGAACGUAGCAAAAUGCGAUACUUGGUGUGAAUUGCAGAAUCCCGUGAACCAUCGAGUUUUUGAACGCAAGUUGCGCCCGAAGCCUUUUGGCCGAGGGCACGUCUGCCUGGGCGUCACAC